CACGUAGGGCGCAAGCGUUGUCCGGAAUUAUUUGGCGUAAAGAGCUCGUAGGUGGUUUGCUGCGUCCGCUGUGAAAACCCAAGGCUUAACCUUGGGCUUGCAGUUGAUACGGGCAGACUAGAGGUAGGUAGGGGAGAAUGGAAUUCCCGGUGUAGCGGUGAAAUGCGCAGAUAUCGGGAGGAACACCGGUGGCGAAGGCGGUUCUCUGGGCCUUACCUGACGCUGAGGAGCGAAAGCGUGGGGAGCGAACAGG
This 253-nucleotide ribosomal RNA is filed under the name uncultured bacterium. Its description in RNAcentral is "partial 16S ribosomal RNA". It matches the Rfam family "Bacterial small subunit ribosomal RNA", at positions 524 to 776 of the family's 1533-position model. The record is from RNAcentral.